UGGGGAAUAUUGGACAAUGGGGGGAACCCUGAUCCAGCCAUGCCGCGUGUGUGAAGAAGGCCUUAUGGUUGUAAAGCACUUUAAGCGAGGAGGAGGGUACUGGUAUUAAUACUACCAGGUACUGGACGUUACUCGCAGAAUAAGCACCGGCUAACUCUGUGCCAGCAGCCGCGGUAAUACAGAGGGUGCGAGCGUUAAUCGGAUUUACUGGGCGUAAAGCGUGCGUAGGCGGCUAAUUGAGUCGGAUGUGAAAUCCCCGAGCUUAACUUGGGAAUUGCAUUCGAUACUGGUUAGCUAGAGUGUGGGAGAGGAUGGUAGAAUUCCAGGUGUAGCGGUGAAAUGCGUAGAGAUCUGGAGGAAUACCGAUGGCGAAGGCAGCCAUCUGGCCUAACACUGACGCUGAGGUACGAAAGCAUGGGAGCAAACAGG
This 429-nucleotide ribosomal RNA is filed under the name Pseudomonadota bacterium. RNAcentral describes it as "Proteobacteria bacterium partial 16S ribosomal RNA". It matches the Rfam family "Bacterial small subunit ribosomal RNA", at positions 355 to 776 of the family's 1533-position model. Lineage: Bacteria; Pseudomonadati; Pseudomonadota. The record is from RNAcentral.